UGCGCCUGCGCCCAGGCGGCGGAUGAUGGUUGCGCCCACCGCCUGCUGUGUGGAGAAUGGGUUAGCAGGUGGAGGAAGAUACCCGGGAAGUUCAGUGGAUUUGCCUUCGGACUGUUACCUCACCGUGGACUUAAAAAUCUAUUUUGAAACUCAGUUCUGAACCCUUGGUUGGGUUCUGUCCUUCUAAAGUGAUUACAAACAUGGCCACAGAUUCUCUGCAGCCACUCCAGUGGGAGGGGAGUCGUUUUCCCCUCUAAGUCUGGGCUGGCCUGGGAGUUGUUUGGAUCAGGACAGUGCUGAAGAAGGGAGAUGUCUGAGUCCCUGGCUCAGCUCUGGACACCUCGGAACUUCUGCUCUCGCCCUGAGAACCCUUCCGGCACUGUGUCCACAAGCCCUGACUGCCGUUCUGCUGGGAGAGGAACCACAGGGAGAGAGGCACCAGUCACCUCGGCUGUCAGGAGCCAUCCAGCCCAGGCCCAGACAUCUGGGCAAGCUCAGGUGGAACCAUGCAGCCCCCCAGAACAGGACAGUCAUCUGAGCCUGACGUCAAAUGCCAACCACAGACUGGUGAGAAACAACCUGCUGUUGUUUAAAGCCCUUAAGUUGGAGGUGGUUUGUUAUGUAGCAAAAGGUGACACACCUCCCAUGAAACAGGAACAUUGAUGAAGUCAUUGGCUGCCCCCAGCAGUGGAUUGAUUCUCUGUGCCAUCAGGCAACUGAGGGACUUUUCUUGUAGAGAAACCACAUAUGGAAUCAAACGUACAGUUGCGAUCUUCAUCUGAUUAAAUUUGUCAAAAUCUCCAGUCAGGCUCCAUGACCCACUGGCUUUUAUAGUAGCCAAGGAGGCUAGUGAAGUGAGCAAUGGUAGGAAUUUCCCACCAUGCAUCUCUCCAGGGUUUGACGAGAUUGCUAACCUCCCCAGUCUCCCCCAUGGGUGUUGUGUUGCCUGGGGUUUACGCUGAGGGAAGGGGCAGUGCCAAGAACUUCUAUUUGGUCCCUUUCCCCUAAUAAUCUUCACUCCUUGGUUCAGGAAACCAAAAUGGGAACUCCAGCAGCUGCUAACUAUAUCUAUUCCCGUUAUAUAUUCUGGAACCAGGGAAAUAAGGACAGGAUGGGUCCCUGGUCCCAGUGAACAAACUAAAAUGUGGGCCAAAGCUCCUUCUAUCCCCAGACCUCCAAAAGCUCCCACUCCAGCCAAUGGGGCAUGCAGCCCUUCUGAUCAUUAGAAAUCAGCAUAUGUUCCAAACCAGUGUAUAAAAGUCCCCAGAAAAUGCAUUUCCCUUUUACCAGGGUAUGGUCACACUGGUAAGUGACUGCCACUUUGGGAACAUUGGGGAGAGCUGAGGAGGAGAAGCAUGGCGUACAUCUCAGACAGGUCAUUUCCCAAAGGGCUCCAGUAUCCCCCUCAGUCUAGGGGCUUAGAGUCCAACACCUGAUUAGAGCCUGGUACCCAGGGAAGAGACCAUGACUCCUCACUGUAGCAACUAUUGUAUCUGGAUUUUUCUUGAAGGCUGCCCAACAAUUUCAUUUCUAGGCACAUAUGAUCAUUAUCCAUCACUACAUAUUGCCGUGGGUCACAUUCUCUAAUUACCGUUCUGUCCUUGUGGCUUACUGUGUGAAUCACACAUACCUUGUCUCUGCUUGUUGAGCCGUCUGUUCCUCCAGCCUUCAUGAUCCCCUGCCAUCAUCUCCUGCAGCGAAGGACAGUGCCCCCACUGAGCUCAUCAAGGAUGCUAGUGCCUCCUACAGCAAUGCCUUUUUGAAUUCUUUCAUGAAGGCUGUGAACUCUUCUCCCUCAAGCAUGAUUAGGGAUGACUAAGCAGGUUGAAUAUCAUUCAUAGAUCUGUGCCAACAUUCCCAUUUCCUGAUGCCUCCUGACUCCUUCCUGCCCUCCUCAACAGUGUACCAGGGAUAUGCCAGGAUUUUGACCAUUUGGACCCAAUGUAGGGUCCAGAACAUCAACACCACUUGCAGGUGGUCAAGGCAAUAUUUUAAAUCCCAAAUACUGAGUGAGGACAUUCAUGUCAAGGAAAUCAGUCUGGUCAAGACCUUCAUCUUAUCCCUUUGGUCCACCACUCUUAGAACUCAUUCCCACCCACGCUGCCCAGGCUUUGCCAGCACAGAUUGGCACGGUCCUGUAAGCUUUCGGUGUAGUCUCUCCCUUCCAGGAAGGUCCUUGGAGCUUUCUAUUCUGGCUAUUUUUAAAUCUGUAUGUAAACCUACCUCUAUUUGGGGCUCCUGCCAAAACAGAUCAGCAAAGUCAAGCAAUUCUUUCAUUGUCUAGAAGACCUGCUCCCUGAGUGAGGGGUGAACCUGGAGGGACAAACAGAAGUUAUACAGCAAGCUAGCAACGGAUUACAGAAAAAGCAAGAAAAAUAAUUUCAGAGCAGUAGAUGUAUGUACAUUACCUUAAUUACAGUGAUGGUUUAGGGGUCCGUACAUAUCUCAAGACUCAUGAAAUUAUACACUUUAAAUCUACAGAGUUUUUUCUUACAUAAUUAUACUUCAAAAAGCUGUAAAAAAAAUUUAAAGACUAAUACAUUUUGGAAUCCGAGCAUUCUGUACUUAUCAAUAAGAAGUACUAAAUAAA
Molecule: non-coding RNA, 2590 nt
Organism: Equus caballus (horse)
Lineage: Eukaryota; Metazoa; Chordata; Mammalia; Perissodactyla; Equidae
Source: RefSeq, a predicted model, not a curated record